Molecule: long non-coding RNA, 2719 nt
Filed under: Mus musculus (house mouse)
Lineage: Eukaryota; Metazoa; Chordata; Mammalia; Rodentia; Muridae
Description: long non-coding RNA chr9:78718286-78721005
Source: RNAcentral
GGGGACAUAGCUCAGUGGUCGAGUGCUUGCCUAGCAUGCUCAGUGAGGCCUUGAUCGUCAGCUCUCCAAGAACCCAACCGAUUAACCAAACACCAACUAGGAUUAAAAUGCUUUUGUAAAGUACUUCUUUAGCUCUUCAGGUCCUGCCUUAGCUUGUAUCUCUCUUUGAUUUUCAAUUUAUUAAGAGUGAGCAGGGGAAGGACAAUGCUGGGAUGGUACUUCCUCAUGGCUUAACUGUAAAUGCACUUCGAUUCACCUGAUGUAAUUGUCAUCUCAGAGGCUUAUUGCUGAAUAAGCUCACCAUUUCUAGUUCUUUCUGAACUCUGGCUGGCUGCUACAGCUCAGCUCGUUAGGCUUAAACUCCUCUCCAUGCUGACUGACUCAAUCUGGCUUCUCUCAGUUUCUCAUUGAAUUGUUCGGCUUGGCCUCAAACUCACUCUGGCCAUUCAUUCUAUCUCUGGCUCACUCUUAUUCUCUGGGUUCCACUGCCUCUGCUGACCUGCACUGGAUGGCAUAAACUCAACUCCACUGCACUGCACUCACUGUGUUGACUCCCAACUGACUGACUCCUCCUGCGAUGUUCUUAAAUAGCAUCUCCCUGUGCUGUUCUCGUGAGAGUUGGGCAUAUUCUAGCCCUGACUCAUACUGUCAGACCUUUCUGAUUUGUCACUUUGUCUGCCCCUCAAACGUCACUCUCAAACAUGACUGCUUCCUUCUACAAACCAACUUUACCUCCAUUGUUAGGAAUUAAAGGUGUGUACUGAAGGUGUGUCUGUAUUCCAGUCAGAAGGAUUAAAGGUAUGUCAUUCCAGCUGGAUCAUGGAUUGAAAUUCCUCUACACUUAAUAAAUCUGUGCCAAUGGCUUGGUCUCUUCCUGCUUUGUAUCGCUCUUAGAAAGUUUGUUCUGCCACAGCAGUGAGUUAGACGUGACGGAAAGCCUCCCCGAGGAAGAACUGGAGGGCUGUGUGGAGUGGUAACAUGUUAAUGACGAGCAGGAGGAUGUUUCGGUCACGGCUCUAAGCAAUGAUAUUUACAAAUGUAUUUUUCCUUAAAUUUGCUUUGGCUGAUACUUGACUGUUGAUUUCAUUUAGUGAUGUGGUCUGAUCCAAGGUCCCACUGCCUAGGAAACUGAAGAUAGCAGUGAAGAUGCUUCCAUCCACAUUUGCCCGUCCUCUGGUUCUCUCUACUGAAUACUGUGAUAACCAAUAGGUAAAAACAUUCAGAACAGAACAGUGAUUCUAUGUGUUUACCACCUCACUGUACUUUGUUAUGGUUCUGAAAAAGAUGAAGGACCACUAGGAUGUUCCCAGUGAGUGAGAUGCUGUCUUGAUCACAGUGCUCCACUGCACUCUAUGUGCAUACUGCAUUUCAAAAUACUCUGAAGGCAGUAUCUGUGGGCUAGCAUUUUAGCUGUAUGUCUUAGGGUUUCACUGCUGUGAACAACCACCAUGACCAAGGCAAACUCUUAUGAAGGAGAACAUGUAAUUGAGGCUGGCUUACAGGUUCAGAGGUUCAGUCCAGUAUCAUCAAGAUGGGAGCUUGGCAGCAUCCAGGAAGGCAUGGCAACAGAAAGAGUUGAGAGUUCUACAUCUUCAUCCAAAGGAAGCUAAAGAGUAGACUGGCUGCCAUGUGGUUAGUAGGAGGGUCUCAUUGCCCAUCCCGAUGACAGUGCCACAUUUCCUCCAACAAGGCCACACCUACUCCAGUAAGGCCACACCUCCUAAGAGUGCCAUUCCCUGGUCCAAGCAUAUUCACUGUAAGAUGGAGAGAGUUGUGCUCAUGUGGACUCAGAUACACAGCUUUCCCUCAGAGUUUGUUAUUCACACAGGCAGUAUUGUAGCUGGCAUGGGGGAAUUUUCAGAAUUGCAGGUGUAAUUCCAGAUCCUAUUCAGAUGCGCCUGGCUUUUAUUUUUUAUUUUAUAUUUUUUGAAAUCAUGCUUAAUCCUGUAUGUCUAUUGAUAUAAAUAUAGUUAUAUAUUUUUUCCUGGCCACUAUAUCAUCAGUUGUCUUUGUUUCGAUACAAUUCAAUAUUUUUAUUUGACAUUUCUGGGUGUCCCAUGACAUAGAAAAUGGUGCUAUAAUUGUUUUUUGUCUUUCUUGUCUUAAAGAGGACCAGCAUUUCCCCCCUGCUGGCACACACUCUUUGUAACGACCUUCUUUUUUUUUUUCUGUUUUGCUUUGUUGAACUAUUGAUGCGCAUAGAAUGAGAGGCUGCAAAUUCUGCUUUUAGAUUUUCCAGUUUAAGGAUGAUAACUACUUUGCAUGUUUUAGAUUGGUACAGUGGCUCAAGUGCCAUUACAUAUUCGUGAGGCAUUAUUCUCACAUGGUAGAUUUAGGAUACUCACAGUAACAAUGUCUCUGUCACACUCUUCCAUGGCAGAUUUUACAGAAUACCAACAGGUGUGAUGGGAGACAUCAAAGUCUGCCCUAUUAUUGGCCAAGGUUAGCCAACUGCAGAUAUUGUCAUUGAUGUAGGACUUAGCAUGGCAAUGAUAAUGUAUAUCCUAGAGUUAAGCUAUAGAAAUGAUAUUCUAUUCCUUCCAUGCCUUUUGGUUGCCACAAUAUUCUUUAGAUUAUGUCUCUCUGGGAGUUUUCCAAUGACAUUGUUUUGGUAAAGUUACUUUAAGCUAAUACACCAUCUUAAAGUAAAGUGAAAACAUGGAACUUUGUCACACAGUAAAAUGUAUUUAUUCAAUUGAUUUAAAAGUAUAUAGUAGGC